UGACCUCGGAUCAGGUAGGGAUACCCGCUGAACUUAAGCAUAUCAAUAAGCGGGAGGAA
This 59-nucleotide ribosomal RNA is filed under the name Cadophora sp. REF020. RNAcentral's name for it is "partial 28S ribosomal RNA". Lineage: Eukaryota; Fungi; Ascomycota; Leotiomycetes; Helotiales; Ploettnerulaceae. The record is from RNAcentral.